Molecule: non-coding RNA, 73 nt
Organism: Phrynosoma platyrhinos (Desert horned lizard)
Lineage: Eukaryota; Metazoa; Chordata; Lepidosauria; Squamata; Phrynosomatidae
Source: the annotation of a GenBank genome assembly
AUGACUGUGGUGCAGUGGUUAAAAUACUGGACUAAAACUCCAGAGACCUGAGUUCAAAUCCCAUUCAGAUAUU